Molecule: ribosomal RNA, 253 nt
Filed under: uncultured bacterium
Lineage: Bacteria
Description: partial 16S ribosomal RNA
Rfam family: Bacterial small subunit ribosomal RNA
Source: RNAcentral
UACGUAGGGGGCUAGCGUUGUCCGGAAUCAUUGGGCGUAAAGAGCGUGUAGGCGGUCCGGUAAGUCCGAUGUGAAAGCCCUGGGCUCAACCUGGGAAUUGCAUUGGAUACUGGCAGGCUAGAGUGCGGUAGAGGAUGGCGGAAUUCCCGGUGUAGCAGUGAAAUGCGUAGAGAUCCGGAAGAACACCGGUGGCGAAGGCGGCCUGCUGGGUUCUGGCUGACACUGAGGCGCGACAGCGUGGGGAGCAAACAGG